UACGUAGGGUCCGAGCGUUGUCCGGAGUUAUUGGGCGUAAAGCGCGCGCAGGCGGCUUGGCGCGCCCGACGUGAAAGCCCCCGGCUUAACCGGGGAGAGUCGUCGGGGACGGCCGGGCUUGAGGGCGGGAGAGGGUGGUGGAAUUCCCGGUGUAGUGGUGAAAUGCGUAGAGAUCGGGAGGAACACCUGUGGCGAAGGCGGCCACCUGGGCCGACCCUGACGCUGAGGCGCGAAGGCGUGGGGAGCGAACGGG
Molecule: ribosomal RNA, 253 nt
Filed under: uncultured bacterium
Lineage: Bacteria
Description: partial 16S ribosomal RNA
Rfam family: Bacterial small subunit ribosomal RNA
Source: RNAcentral